This 1212-nucleotide ribosomal RNA is filed under the name uncultured Acidovorax sp. RNAcentral describes it as "bacterial SSU rRNA". It matches the Rfam family "Bacterial small subunit ribosomal RNA", at positions 209 to 1392 of the family's 1533-position model. The record is from RNAcentral. Lineage: Bacteria; Pseudomonadati; Pseudomonadota; Betaproteobacteria; Burkholderiales; Comamonadaceae.
GGCCUUGCGCGAACGGAGCGGCCGAUGGCAGAUUAGGUAGUUGGUGGGAUAAAAGCUUACCAAGCCGACGAUCUGUAGCUGGUCUGAGAGGACGACCAGCCACACUGGGACUGAGACACGGCCCAGACUCCUACGGGAGGCAGCAGUGGGGAAUUUUGGACAAUGGGCGAAAGCCUGAUCCAGCCAUGCCGCGUGCAGGAUGAGGGCCUUCGGGUUGUAAACUGCUUUUGUACGGAACGAAAAGACUCUGGUUAAUACCUGGGGUCCAUGACGGUACCGUAAGAAUGAGCACCGGCUAACUACGUGCCAGCAGCCGCGGUAAUACGUAGGGUGCAAGCGUUAAUCGGAAUUACUGGGCGUAAAGCGUGCGCAGGCGGUUAUAUAAGACAGAUGUGAAAUCCCCGGGCUCAACCUGGGAACUGCAUUUGUGACUGUAUAGCUAGAGUACGGCAGAGGGGGAUGGAAUUCCGCGUGUAGCAGUGAAAUGCGUAGAUAUGCGGAGGAACACNCCGAUGCGGAANGGCNANAAUCCCCUGGGCCUGUACUGACGCUCAUGCACGAAAAGCGUGGGGAGCAAACAGGAUUAGAUNACCCNUGGUAGUCCACGCCCUAAACGAUGUCAACUGGNUUGUUGGGNCCUUCACUGACUCAGUAACGAAGCUAACGCGUGAAGUUGACCGCCUGGGGANGUACGGCCGCAAGGUUNGAAACUCNAAAGGAAUUGACGGGGACCCNGCACAAGCGGUGGANUGAUGUGGNUUUAAUUCGAUGCAACGCGAAAAACCUUACCCACCNUUUGACAUNGUACGGAAUNCCUUUAGAGAUAGAGGNAGUNGCUCNGAAANGAGAGCCGUAACACNAGGUGCUGNCAUGGNCUGUCGUCAGCUCGUGUCGUGAGAUGUUGGGUUAAGUCCCGCAACGAGCGCAACCCUUGCCAUUAGUUGCUACGAAAGGGCACUCUAAUGGGACUGCCGGUGACAAACCGGUGGAAGGUGGGGAUGACGUCAAGUCCUCAUGGCCCUUAUAGGUGGGGCUACACACGUCAUACAAUGGCUGGUACAGAGGGUUGCCAACCCGCGAGGGGGAGCUAAUCCCAUAAAGCCAGUCGUAGUCCGGAUCGCAGUCUGCAACUCGACUGCGUGAGGUCGGAAUCGCUAGUAAUCGCGGAUCAGAAUGUCGCGGUGAAUACGUUCCCGGGUCUUGUACACACCG